ACCGCAUUGCGUGCGUCUCGCUACCUGCGCAGCUAAGCUACUAUUUUGCGUGAUAGACAGACGAACGGACGAACAGACGUAUACGGGUAUUAUAAUAUAGAAUCAAAGAAAAAAGAAAUACACAUGAGGCUACCCGCAUACCUUGCUUUUAAUGCUAGUCUGGUUUGAUGGUAAUAAUAUACAAAACACAUCACAUCACUGAAAAAGAGUACCAUGACUUGCCAAGAGUAUUGCAAGAGAGAGUUUGCGUUACCUGCAGAAGUCCAAAGCUCAUUUCAACUUUGCCAGAUGAAUAGUAGAACCACAGUGUUCAUCUAUGAUGAGGGUCAGGGCUUCAAAAAUAGCACUGUCAGGAGGUUUAGAAGACUGGUUAAUUAUGUGAUUAGCCUGAUAAGAGCAAGGAACUUGUUGAAUCGACUUUAAGAGAAAUCAAGAGAGAUCGGUAGAGAUAUUGUAUGUUUUUAGGGUUUUUAAUUUUAAUACAUUAAUAAAAACGUUUUAAUGUU
Long non-coding RNA from Hydractinia symbiolongicarpus, 506 nucleotides. RefSeq lists it as uncharacterized. The record is from RefSeq and is a predicted model, not a curated record. The transcript has 4 exons. Lineage: Eukaryota; Metazoa; Cnidaria; Hydrozoa; Anthoathecata; Hydractiniidae.